CUGGGGAGUACGGUCGNAAGGCUGAAACUCAAAGGAAUUGACGGGGGCCGACAAGCNGUGGAGCAUGUGGUUUAAUUCGACGCAACGCGAAGAACCUUACCCAGGCUCGAAUGCAGAUGACCAUCGGUGAAAGCCGACUCCCGCAAGGGCAACUGUAUAGGUGCUGCAGGCUGUCGUCAGCUCGUGUCGUGAGAUGUUGGGUUAAGUCCCGCAACGAGCGCAACCCUGUUUCCUGUUGCCAUCACAUCAUGGUGGGCACUCUGGAGAGACUGCCGGUGACAAACCGAGGAAGGUGGGGAUGACGUCAAGUCAGCAUGGCCUUUAUGUCUGGGGCUACACACGUGCACAAUGGCCGAUACAAAGCGUUGCCAACUCGCGAGAGUGAGCUAAUCGCAUAAAGUCGGCUCAGUUCGGAUUGCAGGCUGCAACUCGCCUGCAUGAAGUUGAAAUCGCUAGUAAUCGCGAUCAGCAUGCCGCGGUGAAUACGUUCCCGGGCCUUGUACACACCGCCCGUCACAUCACAAAGCUGGCUGUACUAGAAAUCACUGCGCUCACCCGCAAGGAGGCAGGUGCUUAAGGUAGGUCAGUGAUUGGGGUG
RNAcentral lists this ribosomal RNA (598 nucleotides) under uncultured Lake Michigan sediment bacterium LMBA35. RNAcentral's name for it is "bacterial SSU rRNA". It matches the Rfam family "Bacterial small subunit ribosomal RNA", at positions 873 to 1482 of the family's 1533-position model. Lineage: Bacteria; Pseudomonadati; Acidobacteriota. The record is from RNAcentral.